RNAcentral lists this ribosomal RNA (431 nucleotides) under uncultured bacterium. RNAcentral describes it as "partial 16S ribosomal RNA". It matches the Rfam family "Bacterial small subunit ribosomal RNA", at positions 29 to 507 of the family's 1533-position model. The record is from RNAcentral.
AACGAACGCUGGCGGCAGGCUUAACACAUGCAAGUCGAGCGCCCCGCAAGGGGUGCGGCCGACGGGUGAGUAACGCGUGGGAACGUACCUUUUGGUUCGGAACAACUCCGGGAAACUGGAGCUAAUACCGGAUAAGCCCUAACGGGGAAAGAUUUAUCGCCGAAAGAUCGGCCCGCGUCUGAUUAGCUAGUUGGUGAGGUAACGGCUCACCAAGGCGACGAUCAGUAGCUGGUCUGAGAGGAUGAUCAGCCACACUGGGACUGAGACACGGCCCAGACUCCUACGGGAGGCAGCAGUGGGGAAUAUUGGACAAUGGGCGCAAGCUUGAUCCAGCCAUGCCGCGUGAGUGAUGAAGGCCUUAGGGUUGUAAAGCUCUUUUGUCCGGGAAGAUAAUGACUGUACCGGAAGAAUAAGCCCCGGCUAACUUCGUG